CGCGGGCAGGCGUUUUUUUGGCACUGCUGCUUCUUGGUGGGUGUACAAGUAGUAACUAGCUCACUAGCUCAAGAGACGCCAGGGGAAGACAGCAGAACGGCAAGGAACGGCGCACGGAGUUGCAGAUCUUCUUCGCUUUCGAGGGGUUUAGGCUAGAUUGAAGACGGAUAAGAUGGAUCCUCAGGUUAAACCUGACCCUGAUAACUUCGAUAAUUUGCCACCGCCACCGCCUCCUUCCAUUCCUCCUAAUGUUAACCCCAUGAAGGCCACAAAACCUAAAAGGACUCCAAUGGUUAGACCUGGCAUUGGAAGAAAGGGCAAUGCUGUGCAGCUUUUGACAACUCAUUUUAAAGUUUCUCUCAGGAACGUGGAUGAUUAUUUUUACCACUACAGUGUGGCACUGAGAUAUGAAGACGAUCGUCCUGUGGAUGGGAAGGGUGUUGGAAGGAAAGUUAUUGACAAACUGCACCAGACAUAUGACACUGAGUUAGGAAAAAGGGAUUUUGCAUAUGAUGGUGAGAAGUCUCUAUUCACCCUUGGUGCCCUUCCUCACAUCAAUAACGAAUUCACUGUGGUGCUUGAGGACCUGUCCUCAAACAGAAUUCCUGGCAAUGGAAACGCUGGAAAUAAUAGUCCAGGUGAAAGCGAUCACAAACGUGCCAGACGUCCAAAGCAUACUAAAACCUUCAAGGUUUUGUUGAGUUUUGCAGCUAAAAUACCUAUGAAAUCCAUUGCUGCAGCCUUGAAAGGCAAUGACACGGAGAACUCUCAGGAGGCUUUACGGGUUCUUGAUAUUAUUCUGCGACAGCAUGCUGCAAAACAGGGAUGUCUUCUUGUGAGACAAUCAUUUUUUCAAAACAAUCCUAAAAGCUUUACUGACAUUGGUGGUGGAGUCAUGGGAUGCAGAGGUUUUCAUUCAAGUUUCAGAACUUCACAAGGAGGACUUUCUUUGAAUAUUGAUGUCUCUACUACUAUGAUUGUGAGGCCUGGCGCAGUGGUUGACUUUCUCCUCGCAAAUCAAAAUGUCAAGAAUCCAAAUCAACUAGACUGGAACAAGGCUAGAAGAACUUUGAAAAAUUUGAGAGUGAAGACAACUCAUACCAAUCAAGAAUUUAAAAUCAUUGGGAUAAGUGACAAGCCUUGCAAAGAUGAAAUAUUCACUCUAAAGCUGAGAAAUGGAAAUGAUGGAAAUGGAAAUUCAGAUGCAGUUGAAGUAACUGUUUAUGAUUAUUUUGUGAGACAUCGGAGAAUGCAAUUGAGUUACUCUGCUAAUUUUCCUUGCUUGAAUGUCGGAAAGCCAAAAAGACCAACAUAUGUGCCCCUUGAGCUCUGCUCCUUAGUAUCAUUGCAAAGAUAUACCAAAUCUCUGUCAACAUUUCAAAGAGCUUCCCUCGUGGAAAAGUCAAGGCAAAAGCCUCGAGAACGAAUGAUUGUCCUCAGUGAGGCUUUGAGGAGCAAUAAUUAUGAUGCUGACCCAUUGCUACAUGCAUGUGGCGUUAGCAUUGCCACCACUUUUACUCAAGUAGAAGGUAGAGUAUUGCAGCCUCCCCGGCUCAGAGUUGGCAAUGGAGAGGAAUUUAUGCCAUCAAGGGGGAGAUGGAAUUUUAACCAAAAGAAAUUGAUGGAGCCAGCUCGAAUCACCCGAUGGGCUGUUGUUAAUUUCUCUGCUCGAUGUGAUGUUUCAAGCCUCAUACGUGACAUGCUCAAAUGCGCAAAUAUGAAAGGCAUUUCAAUGGAAGAACCUUUCCAGCAUAUUUUUGAGGAAAAUCCUUCGAUGAGAAGGGCACCACCUGUUGCCAGAGUGGAGGAAAUGUUUCGGCAAGUUAAGCAGAUUGAUCCAAAGUUUCUCCUCUGCAUUUUAUCUGAGAGGAAGAAUUCAGAUAUUUAUGGUCCAUGGAAGCUCAAAUGUCUAACUGCUGAUCCUGGAAUUAUUUCUCAAUGUAUCGCCCCUACAAGAGUGAAUGACCAGUACCUUACCAAUGUGCUGCUUAAAAUCAAUGCCAAGAUGGGUGGUAUAAACUCUUACUUGUCACUUGAAAGAUCAUCAGCCAUUCCUCUAGUCUCCGAUACACCAACAAUCAUUUUGGGUAUGGAUGUUUCCCAUGGAUCUCCUGGGCAUUCGGAUAUUCCUUCAAUUGCUGCGGUUGUAAGCUCAAGGCAAUGGCCAUCUAUUUCUCGCUAUAGAGCUUCUGUGCGAACACAAUCUCCUAAGGUUGAAAUGAUAGACUCACUUUUUAAGCCUGUAAUAGGGAAUACAGGAAAGAAAUAUGACAGUGGCAUGAUUCGGGAGCUGAUGGUCGAUUUCUACAUCAGUUCAGGAAAAAGAAAACCAGAAAACAUUAUCAUUUUCAGGGAUGGUGUUAGUGAAUCACAGUUUACUCAAGUCCUCAACAUUGAAUUUGAUCAAAUUAUUGAGGCAUGCAAGUUUCUUGAUGAACAGUGGUCUCCAAAGUUUACAUUGAUAAUUGCCCAGAAAAAUCAUCAUACCAAGUUUUUCCUUCCAAACUCACCUGACAAUGUCCAACCUGGGACGGUUAUCGAUAACAAAAUUUGUCAUCCUAAGAACUAUGACUUCUACAUGUGCGCUCAUGCUGGCAUGAUUGGCACAACUCGGCCCACUCAUUACCAUGUGCUAAUGGAUGAGAUUGGGUUUACUGUUGAUUCCCUGCAGGAGCUUGUUCAUUCCCUUUCUUAUGUAUAUCAGAGGAGCACAACUGCGAUAUCUGUUGUUGCACCCAUCUGUUAUGCUCACUUGGCUGCGGCACAAAUUGGACAAUUUGUGAAAUUUGAAGAUUUAUCUGAUUCGUCAUCCAGCCAAGGUGGACAGCAGCAUACCGCACCCGGAGCAAUUCCAGUGCCGGAACUUCCUCGUUUAGAUAAGAAUGUUUCUAGUUCCAUGUUCUUCUGCUGAUCUCUGGACAAUCUCAUAGUCGUCUCUAGUAGAUUUUGGGUGAAUUCUUUUGACCAUCACAAGACUAACUCGAUUAGGUCCGCUUGGAACCUCUUAGUUUAACAUUUGGCUAUGCAUUUUGGUCGACUUAUGUAGUUGUAAUCUGACAGAUACCUUGUGCCCAACAGGAAUGUCGUGUAGGCCAUCUUCAAUUUAGAUCCAAGCGCCGCCGUCCGAGUCAUCAACUCGCUGAGUCGGCGCGGCGAAGUCGGGCCGUCCACGUUUCCUCACCGUCAGCCUCCACUACGGCGGACAGCCGACUCUGAGUGGCGGCGGUGCUCCUUGCUGGCCCGCGAUCGGCAUGUGUCGGGGUGCCACCGGAGUCCGAGCUGUCAGUACGCGGUGCGGAUCUUGUCUGGGCCGGCGGUCCGGGACAUGGAGAGGAGGUAGCGCAUGGUCCAUGCGACUGCAGUCGGGGCUGCGGCGGCGGCAGAGAUCCUUACUGACUGGGGAGUUCUUGGGGUGGCGAUGGUGGAUCGGAGGGAGAAGGGACGGCCAUUAAUUAGCUUUGAAAGGAAGAAGAAACUUCUUGUGGAGCUUCAAUGGCAAAAGGCGAAAUCGUUCAUCCUAGCGUUCCAGUCGCAUCCAACCCAAGGUCAUCACAAGGAAAAUAAAUCAUGAUAGCCGAGAAAGCAAGUGUUAGAUGAGAUGAGAUACACAAGAUCCAGAAAUUUAUGCCCCGAUAUCUCCAUAAUUCGACCCCAUGUUCUGAUGGAUUUCUGGUGGAGCUUCAAGAAACAGAGUGGAGAUGUUAUACAACAGACAAGGGGGGAAUUGUUUUUUUUAAUAUAUAUAAAAAAAGAAAAUUAUGUUUUUGGUCGUA
This is an RNA transcript of Zingiber officinale, 3773 nucleotides long. It is a transcript of the gene named protein argonaute 4B-like, with no coding region annotated. NCBI's taxonomy places the organism in Eukaryota, Viridiplantae, Streptophyta, Magnoliopsida, Zingiberales, Zingiberaceae. The transcript is spliced from 24 exons. The record is from RefSeq and is a predicted model, not a curated record.